UUUAGGACGUUGUCACAAGUGUGGUCUACGUGGCCAUUAUGGUGUUGCCUGUAGAUCCCGUAUGUACUUUACCAAAGCUAUUACUAUUAUAAUAGUCAGGUGAUAUUAUUUUCAAAAGUUGUGCAUCAAGUUUACAAUAAAUUUUAAUCAUUGUACAGUCUUGGAAAACUAAUGACUCUUCAUGUUCCUCAGUAUAAAAUAAAAAAAUAAACACAGUCACUGUUAUGCAUAUGCAGAGCACUAAAUGGCUGUCCUUUAAUGGCUUCAAAAGCAUAACUGUGCAUUAUAUCACUGUACGGUUGCACUUGAAAAUUACCGGGAUGAAGUCAAACUUAACUGUGCAAGUCCGAUUUUCAGCAUAGUAUGAUUUAUAGUAAAUGUUUAUACGAGACCAGGAUGAAAACGUGCUCGAGAUAGGAUUAAUUUGGAGUGCAGUGAAUGUAAUUAAGGACAAGAACAUUUCAGACUGGUCAAAAAGGUCCAAAAAGCAUAUAUAGAAAUAGCGGGCUUAAGAGGAAUAAACUAAAAGUUGACAUUUUCUUCUUUCAAAUAUUUCACAUAUAGGUGUAGUCUGCUGGAUCUGUGGAGAAUCCAGUGCCACCAAAGAGAGUCACCGCGAAAGGCGGUUGUUUUUAACAUUUGAACGUACAAACAGUCCCUUUGGUUGUGUUGUUAUUACAUUAUGCAAUAAACUAUAAUCAUGAUAAUACUCGUAUAAAAUUUUAAUGUUCGAUUUGUUGAUUAUAAAAUAGAAAUGUACAAUGUGUAAAAAUACAGAACCUUGUCUUUACAACGCUAUAGCAACGAUAUCUAUACAGGUAUGAAAUUCGAUUCUCUGUUUCUUUACCAUUUUUCAAUAAAAACGAGUCUGUGAAGUUGCAAGUUCCAAGUCCGUAAUAUUGUUUAAGGAAUGUGAUGUACGAGUCAAAUAUAUGCGACUUUCUGCUGUCUGAAUAAUCAUACCAACAUACAAUAACCCCGUUGUUGAUUGUUCUCGUUUACAAAAACAAAUAAUAAGUGCAAACAGUAUCCAAGGUUUAUUCUAUCUGUGGUUCCACAUCAGGCUACCAGCCUUUUCCCACUUUCCGACUGUUACCGAAUGUGGAACGAUUGUUUUGUUGAUAUUUUUUGCAAAUUCAAAGUUGUUAAUUUGUUAGUAAACUUACUCACAAUAACUUCAUGUAUAAAUAGAGUUAACAAUAAAGGAACUGAAUCUAAAAUAUGGAAAUUGAAAAGCAUUGGCUUGUAUAAACGAUGUGAAGACAAAUUAACUUGUAUAUGUUGUGCUGUUUGUUUAAAUAUCCACUAUUUGCGAUAGUGACUAAUUUCAACAGUUUCGAUAUUUCUGUGUUAUUUUAGCA
Non-coding RNA from Paramuricea clavata, 1361 nucleotides. Lineage: Eukaryota; Metazoa; Cnidaria; Anthozoa; Malacalcyonacea; Plexauridae. The record is from the annotation of a GenBank genome assembly.